UACGGAGGGUGCAAGCGUUGUUCGGAAUUACUGGGCGUAAAGCGUGCGCAGGCGGUUUUGUAAGUCAGAUGUGAAAUCCCCGGGCUUAACCUGGGAACUGCGUUUGAAACUACAAGGCUAGAGUGUGGCAGAGGGGGGUGGAAUUCCACGUGUAGCAGUGAAAUGCGUAGAGAUGUGGAGGAACACCGAUGGCGAAGGCAGCCCCCUGGGUUAACACUGACGCUCAGGCACGAAAGCGUGGGGAGCAAACAGG
RNAcentral lists this ribosomal RNA (253 nucleotides) under uncultured bacterium. Its description in RNAcentral is "partial 16S ribosomal RNA". It matches the Rfam family "Bacterial small subunit ribosomal RNA", at positions 524 to 776 of the family's 1533-position model. The record is from RNAcentral.